This 1332-nucleotide ribosomal RNA is filed under the name metagenome. RNAcentral's name for it is "bacterial LSU rRNA". It matches the Rfam family "Bacterial large subunit ribosomal RNA", at positions 1580 to 2925 of the family's 2925-position model. The record is from RNAcentral.
CGGCAGCGAAGUUGGUGAUGUCAUGCUUCCAAGAAAAGCCCUAUACCCGUUAAGGCAUCAUGGCCUGUACCCGAAACCGACACAGGUGGGGUGGUAGAGAAUACCGAGGGGCGCGAGGUAACUCUCUCUAAGGAACUCGGCAAAAUGGCCCCGUAACUUCGGGAGAAGGGGUGCCACCGCAAGGUGGUCGCAGUGAAGAGGCCCAGGCGACUGUUUACCAAAAACACAGGUCUCCGCUAAGUCGCAAGACGAUGUAUGGGGGCUGACGCCUGCCCAGUGCCGGAAGGUUAAGGAAGCUGGUCAGCGCAAGCGAAGCCAGCGACUGAAGCCCCGGUGAACGGCGGCCGUAACAAUAACGGUCCUAAGGUAGCGAAAUUCCUUGUCGGGUAAGUUCCGACCCGCACGGAAGGCGUAACGAUCUGGGCGCUGUCUCGGAGAGAGGCUCGGCGAAAUAGAAUUGUCUGUGAAGAUGCGGACUACGUGCACCCGGACAGAAAGACCCUAUGAAGCUUUACUGUAGCUUGGUAUUGUGCCCGGGCUCGCAGUGCGCAGGAUAGGUGGGAGGCUUUGAUCAUCGGCUUGCGGGUCGAUGUGAGCCAACGGUGAGAUACCACUCUUUGCGAGCUAGGGUUCUAACGGCCACCCGUCAUCCGGGGGCCGGACAGUACCUGGUGGGCAGUUUGACUGGGGCGGUCGCCUCCUAAAAGGUAACGGAGGCGCGCAAAGGUUUGCUCAGGCUGGUUGGAAAUCAGCCGACGAGUGUAAAAGCAGAAGCAAGCUUGACUGUGAGACCAACAAGUCGAACAGGGAGGAAACUCGGCUUUAGUGAUCCGACGGUUCUGAGUGGAAGGGCCGUCGCUCAACGGAUAAAAGUUACUCUAGGAUAACAGGCUGAUCUCCCCCAAGAGUUCACAUCGACGGGGAGGUUUGGCACCUCGAUGUCGGCUCAUCGCAACCUGGGGCUGAAGUCGGUCCCAAGGGUUGGGCUGUUCGCCCAUUAAAGCGGUACGCGAGCUGGGUUCAGAACGUCGUGAGACAGUUCGGUCCAUAUCCGGUGCACGCGCAGGAAUAUUGAGAGGAUUUCUCCCUAGUACGAGAGGACCGGGAGGAACGCACCUCUGGUGUACCAGUUAUCGUGCCAACGGUAAACGCUGGGUAGCCAUGUGCGGAGUGGAUAACCGCUGAAAGCAUCUAAGUGGGAAGCCCACCUCAAGAUGAGUAUUCCCAUGGCGUAAGCCAGUAAGGUCACGGGAAGAACACCCGUUGAUAGGCUCUAUGUGGAAGCGCAGUAAUGCGUGAAGCAGAGGAGUACUAGUAGACCGAGGGCUUGAC